Molecule: long non-coding RNA, 194 nt
Organism: Hibiscus syriacus
Lineage: Eukaryota; Viridiplantae; Streptophyta; Magnoliopsida; Malvales; Malvaceae
Exons: 2
Source: RefSeq, a predicted model, not a curated record
GAAAGCUUCUUAAAAAAGGGAAAAAACUUACUGAUUCAAAAUCGUCUUCAAAGUCGGAGUCAAGUGAAUCAAAUUCAGCGGUGUCUAUCUGAGGCUCAGGUUCAACGAAGUCAUUGACAACGUAUUGAAGAUUGUCGUUUUGAAAGCGUUCCAUUAUGCUACAGUUAAGAAACAGAUUAAACAAGAUUUUGAUU